RNAcentral lists this ribosomal RNA (490 nucleotides) under uncultured bacterium. RNAcentral describes it as "partial 16S ribosomal RNA". It matches the Rfam family "Bacterial small subunit ribosomal RNA", at positions 28 to 507 of the family's 1533-position model. The record is from RNAcentral.
GAUGAACGCUAGCGAUAGGCUUAACACAUGCAAGUCGAGGGGCAGCAUGGUCUUAGCUUGCUAAGACUGAUGGCGACCGGCGCACGGGUGCGUAACGCGUAUGCAACUUGCCUCACAGAGGGGGAUAACCCGUCGAAAGACGGACUAAUACCGCGUACACUCCAUCUUGGGCAUCCAAGGUAGAGGAAAUGAAAUUCGCUGUGAGAUAGGCAUGCGUCCCAUUAGCUAGUUGGUGAGGUAACGGCUCACCAAGGCGACGAUGGGUAGGGGAACUGAGAGGUUGAACCCCCACACUGGUACUGAGACACGGACCAGACUACUACGGGAGGCAGCAGUGAGGAAUGUUGGUCAAUGGGCGAGAGCCUGAACCAGCCAAGUCGCGUGAAGGAUGACUGUCUUAUGGAUUGUAAACUUCUUUUAUACGGGAAUAACAAGAGUCACGUGUGACUCCCUGCAUGUACCGUAUGAAUAAGCAUCGGCUAACUCCGUG